Molecule: ribosomal RNA, 430 nt
Filed under: bacterium
Lineage: Bacteria
Description: partial 16S ribosomal RNA
Rfam family: Bacterial small subunit ribosomal RNA
Source: RNAcentral
UGGGGAAUAUUGGACAAUGGGCGCAAGCCUGAUCCAGCCAUGCCGCGUGUGUGAAGAAGGCCUUUUGGUUGUAAAGCACUUUAAGCGAGGAGGAGGCUACUUGGAUUAAUACUCUAAGAUAGUGGACGUUACUCGCAGAAUAAGCACCGGCUAACUCUGUGCCAGCAGCCGCGGUAAUACAGAGGGUGCGAGCGUUAAUCGGAUUUACUGGGCGUAAAGCGUGCGUAGGCGGCUUCUUAAGUCGGAUGUGAAAUCCCUGAGCUUAACUUAGGAAUUACAUUCGAUGCUGGGAAUCUAGAGUAUGGGAGAGGAUGGUAGAAUUCCAGGUGUAGCGGUGAAAUGCGUAGAGAUCUGGAGGAAUACCGAUGGCGAAGGCGGCCAUCUGGCCUAAUACUGACGCUGAGGUACGAAAGCAUGGGGAGCAAACAGG